AUACGGAGGAUGCGAGCGUUAUCCGGAUUUAUUGGGUUUAAAGGGUGCGUAGGUGGUAGAUUAAGUCAGCGGUUAAAUCGUGGGGCUCAACCCCAUUCUGCCGUUGAUACUGGGUGGCUUGAUUGCGGUCGAGGUUGGCGGAAUUCGUUGUGUAGCGGUGAAAUGCAUAGAUAUGACGAAGAACACCGAUUGCGUAGGCAGCUGACCAGACCGCAAAUGACGCUCAUGCACGAAAGUGCGGGGAUCGAACAGGAUUAGAUACCCUGGUAGUCCGCACAGUAAACGAUGAAUACUUGUUUUCGGCGAUAUAAUGUCGGAGGCAAAGCGAAAGCGAUAAGUAUUCCACCUGGGGAGUACGCCGGCAACGGUGAAACUCAAAUGAAUUGACGGGG
Molecule: ribosomal RNA, 392 nt
Filed under: uncultured bacterium
Lineage: Bacteria
Description: partial 16S ribosomal RNA
Rfam family: Bacterial small subunit ribosomal RNA
Source: RNAcentral